UAGCUAUGUCGUUGUCGCUUUCACAUGAGGAAGAAAAAUGUUACACCUCAUUAACACAGAAUCCCCUCUUUGCUUCAUAGGCAUUUUUUAGGCUAAAGAUAUGACUCUGACUGCUUGGAGAAUGUUUAGUUGACCCGAUUGUCACGGCUAUUGUGACUACUGACUUUGAUUUUUACGACAUAAUCCUCUGAUCAUUUCAGCCCAUGAUUAAAUGAAGCUUGUAGAGCACAAACGCUAUGCUGCAAACGCUAACAUUCUAUCUAUCACAUUGCCCUGGCACUGGAUUCUAUCUAUCAUUACUAUACGACACAUUCACAUAGUAAUUCAGAAUAAUGGAAGUGAAAUGAUACUUUGUGAUGAGAGAGAGAGAGGGGAGGGGGGGGGGGGGGGUCAUGUUUGGAAAAGGACUAAAUUAGAAGAGUUGAUGAAAGAAGGAUCAUACAUAGUUUGUUGGAUAUCUGGUUAUGCUUAGAUGUUAACUGAUCUCGAAUAUUUUAACUACAUGCACACAAAAGAAAAGAUGCAACUACAUUCUGCACAAUCCCACACCUUGCGCAUUGUCAUGCCAAGCUAAGCAAUUUACUUAGUUCUCCCCUGAGUCAAUACUCCUCUGCUUUAUGGUCAUUAAGUUCUAAACAUUUCAAUUUUGCGAACAGUGAGCACAAAUUCAUUCAUUUUCAAGUUUCAAAUGAUAUUUUGCAAGACAAGAACAGAUUGCGCAAGUAUCACAUAGCAGCUUACGGCCCAAAAUGACGUGUGUACACUCACGUCCAGCCAAAAGUUUAUUAGCUAAGGGCUUAACGGAGAGCUUACCUAAGUCAUAGAUUUUCAUCAUUUUACAUCAAAAGAAUCUCUGAGGUUUCGAUCAGUCCCGGAGAUUCCUUAGUACCAUGAUGUCAUACAUCGAUAAGCCAGACUGUUGUUCCUAAUUAAUUUCACAAUCAAGCGAAUGUUCCUAAUUAAUUUAACAAUCAAGCGAAUAAAAUAGAUUCCAUAAAAGUAUGAUCUUUUUACUAGUUUACUUUAGAUUUGUUUACGGAGAAAGCAAAGCAUGACUUGAGUUCCCAUUCCUAAUAUACAUCCAAUUGACAAUCUGUCUAUUUUGUUCUUAUCCUAGGUUCCCAAACUGCAUCUAGACAAAAUUGAUGAUGACAGUUACAUUGGCAUAUCUACCGCUUUCUUCGCCAUUGCUUUACGUAACAAUGACACAUAUUCAGGGCCUU
RNAcentral lists this long non-coding RNA (1223 nucleotides) under Nicotiana tabacum (common tobacco). RNAcentral's name for it is "long non-coding RNA (NTAB_LNC014410)". The record is from RNAcentral. Lineage: Eukaryota; Viridiplantae; Streptophyta; Magnoliopsida; Solanales; Solanaceae.